Molecule: long non-coding RNA, 2310 nt
Filed under: Portunus trituberculatus (swimming crab)
Lineage: Eukaryota; Metazoa; Arthropoda; Malacostraca; Decapoda; Portunidae
Description: uncharacterized LOC123512769
Source: RNAcentral
AUUUUGGGUGGGUGGGAGGAAAGGAGAGGAGAAGGACUAGGGACAUUUAACAUAAAUAAUAGGAUAACAAGGGAUAGUGUUGUUGAAGGGAAUGUGUGGAGGGAUGAGUGAUAGAAUGAUUGAAGCUGUGAAGGAGUUUCUGGAGAGAAUGUUGCGUGCUAGAUGUAUGGAUUAGUAGGAACAAUGGUGUCUAGCCUGUUUUGAUGGGUUUUUAUCUAGUCUGUUUUUAGUCUAGUCUUUUUUUGUCUAGUCUGUUUUGCUUUUUAAAUGAAUUAAUUUACUUUUGUCCCCCCCCCACAGUAGCUGCCAAUACCAAGGCCUGGCUGUGGAGCAAUCCCGAGCCAUCUGUACCGUCAAGAUCAGGCUUGCUUGUGAUGGGGUGAGGAAAUGUCGUCACCACUGUUUACGAAAAUGUGAUGCCGAUUCACUAGUGGGACCAGGAACCCCACCCUCCUCACCACUGGAGAGAGGAGGACAAGUGUCUCUUCCCCAGCAGCUGAAGAAUUUGUGGGGUGAUCAUCAGCCUGCCCUGUGUCCACAGAGCACUCAAUGACCAGCCAGCCCCCCCCCACCUCACUGAAGAGUAUAUGUAAACUGGGAAGUUAAAAAGGGGGAAUAGGCCUUCACAAAAACCUUAUGUACAGUCAGUUACCUUGGAAAUCUCUGGAGAGAGAUUUUAUUGUCCAGAGAUUUCCAAGGUAGCAUUUCUAAGAUUGCAGAGUAACAAUGAAAAACAAGUUCAGUUUCCAAAAGAAAUCUUACAAGACCUCUGGAAGCUUUAAGAGUAUUUUGACUCAGUGCAGUUUUUGAGGCCUUUCUGUCAAUUUUCAGUUUCACUUACCAAUUUUUUUUUUUUUUCAAUGUGGUUUGUGUGUUUCUGGUGAAAUGAAAACUGAUUGAUGUUCUACAUUCGUCACAAAUGUGUACUUUUCAAGCUCUGCCUACCUCUUUCCCAACAAUCUUAAGGGGACCUGUGGGAAAUCAGCAUUUUUGGAUAGGUGAGCAUUAAUUUGUAAAUUGAGUAAUGCAAGUUGCAAGUCAGGUCUAAAAUCAACAAACAAAAUCUAUGAAGAUACAAACUACACUAUUGACAGCGGCAACAACAACUGUUAGGUUAUGCUGAACCUGAGUAGCAUUGUCAACUAUAGCAGCGCUGUCAAUAUAAAUUCACUGUAGACUCACCAUGGUUACUAACCUAAUUUUAUUUAACCUGUAUACAAAAUGUAGUGAAAUGUCAGCAACGCUCACCUCAGCUGCUGUCAAAGGUGUAUAUACUUUGUGAUUGUUGAUUUUUGACCUGUUUUGCAAUGUGCAUUACUUGAUUUAAUGCUUUCCCACCAGUCCCCCCAAGAUCACUGAGGGAGAGGUAAGCACAAGUUGAAAAAUUCAUUACUUGAAAAAUACACAUUUGUGACAGAAAUGAGAUAGACAGUCAAUCAAAUACACUAACUACUCAUCUCACCAGAAACAUUAGCACAAUACACUACUCAUCUCACCAGAAGCACAUCACAAAAAUUGUUGGUUGGUGACACUGAAAAUUGUACACAAUCUUUUUUCCAUUUUCCUAAAACUAAAAAAAAUUAGUUUUAUGAAGCCUUCUUCCUCUAUUUUAUCCUCAAAAGUUGGGUGGGCAGGCCAGGACAGCCAGGAUCCUACUCCUCUUGUGUUGCUGAGAAAGAAAUUUUCAUAUAGCAAAAGAAUACCUCAUGAUAUGUACCAAAGCAAAUAAGUGAUGAUACAUGAUGCACUGCUGCACCAGAAUGUGAGGAGAGGAACAGGAAGGAACCACAUGGUUUUCUGCACUCCUUUUACUGUUGUAGCCAUGAGAGGUGGUGGUAGUGGUAGCAGCCUCUCCUGUUAUGUUCUUGUUUCAGUUCUGGUAAGCUGCAAAAUAAAGUCAGAUAUAAAAUAAUCUUACCAUUUAAAAAGAAAAAAGCGUUAUAAAAGUUUAGUGUCAUCAAAUAUAGCAAAUCACAGCAAAGAAGUGAAACAAGCACUACUCUCCACUAGAAUAACUUGCUGCCGCAUGGACGAGAGGAGAGGAACAGCAGAGAAGGGCUUCUUGGUACUGUGACUGCUUGUGGUGGUGUUAGAAGUGGACAGGAGGAUGGGCGAGUUUGGUGGUGUCACAGGUGGGAAUGGCUGUGUGGAUGGCUGUGACCUGCAACAAUCAUCAACAUCAACAUCCACCAGAUACAUGUGUUAUUUGUGUUAAUUCUCAAUCUGUUUAGGUGUUAUUUGUGUUAAUUCUCUCAAUCUGUUCCAAUGUUCACACCUGGCAAAGCUACCAAAUAAAGGGCAAGGCAACCA